CAGCAGCCGCGGGAAUACGUAGGUCCCGAGCGUUGUCCGGAUUUAUUGGGCGUAAAGCGAGCGCAGGCGGUUAGAUAAGUCUGAAGUUAAAGGCUGUGGCUUAACCAUAGUACGCUUUGGAAACUGUUUAACUUGAGUGCAGAAGGGGAGAGUGGAAUUCCAUGUGUAGCGGUGAAAUGCGUAGAGAUGUGGAGGAACACCAGUGGCGAAGGCGACUCUCUGGUCUGUAACUGACGCUGAGGAGCGAAAGCGUGGGGAGCGAACAGGAUUAGAGACCCGUGUAGUCCCUGUCUCUUAUACA
This 301-nucleotide ribosomal RNA is filed under the name uncultured bacterium. RNAcentral's name for it is "partial 16S ribosomal RNA". It matches the Rfam family "Bacterial small subunit ribosomal RNA", at positions 509 to 808 of the family's 1533-position model. The record is from RNAcentral.